GCGGUUUUAGUCUAAUGGUUAUGAUUCAGGCUUCCCAAGCCUGCUGUACGGGUUCAAAUCCCGUAAACCGCA
This 72-nucleotide transfer RNA is filed under the name Candidatus Woesearchaeota archaeon. RNAcentral's name for it is "tRNA-Gly". It matches the Rfam family "tRNA". From Rfam's summary of the family: Transfer RNA (tRNA) molecules are approximately 80 nucleotides in length. Their secondary structure includes four short double-helical elements and three loops (D, anti-codon, and T loops). The record is from RNAcentral. Lineage: Archaea; Nanobdellati; Candidatus Woesearchaeota.